AUAAUAUCAUAAAAUCAAAUUAAUCUACCCAUUCACCCCAACCCCAACAAAUUUUACUUCAAACCCUAUUUAUUUCCCUUCUCUCUUCUCUCCCUAGUCUCAUUAUCUCCUCUCUCAAAUAUUUUCUUCCUCAACAAAGCAAUCAAAAAAUGCCUCUGAAGUUGAAAAGCACCAGUGGAAUAUGUCGCGAGCUGCAUUAUGAUGCUGCGCACAAAACAUGAGUGCAGCGAAGUCAUCGGCCGCUGCGACGAAGCCGCGCCGCGCACAGUAGUUGAUGCGACAGCGGCUGCUAUAGCUGUAGUAGCCGCUUUAGGUUUCGGGCUACAAUCACCGCUGCCAUGAAGCCACGAGCAUCGAUUGCGAUGGUGAGGUGGUGGUAAUGUUGGAUCUGGUUUGUGCUUUGAUUUUGUUGUUGGCGAUGGAGCGUCUGCAGUUCGAUAGGUGCUCUAUGGUGCAAUUCGUUAAUUGAUAGCAGUUGGAUGCGACAUUGAUGGAGUUAAGCUUGGGACCUUGGUAGGGAGUCCCCUUGGCCAGCUAUUGGUUCAAUGGUGGGUUGCGAUGGUGGUGGUACAGGCGGUGGUAUAGGUGGUGAUGAUGGUAAUAUAAGUGAUAAUGGAUCUAGUGGUGGCGGUGAGGUUUUGGUUGUUGGAGUGGUAGUGAUGGUUUCCAUAUUUUGGUGUUAUUGUGGGUUUGGGGUGGUUUUUGUUGGUGGUGCAGGUGGAGGUGCUAGCGGUGGUAAUGGUCGUGGCCGCGAUAGUGCCAGUUGUGGGAAGGAUGGCUACGGGGUGGUGAGAAUGAUUGUGACCAAUUAUUUGAGGUUGUGGCCAAUUAUUGGCUAUUUUGUGAUCGAUAAAUAUUAUGUGAUCAGUGACUUUUAAUCAAUAAAUAAUGUGAUCUAAAUAUUUGAAUCGUGAUUUGUGAUCAAUAAUUUUUUUGAUUUAUGAUCGAUGGAUAAAUUUUAAUCUAUAAAAGAUUUUAUUUGCAA
RNAcentral lists this long non-coding RNA (985 nucleotides) under Olea europaea subsp. europaea. Lineage: Eukaryota; Viridiplantae; Streptophyta; Magnoliopsida; Lamiales; Oleaceae. The record is from RNAcentral.